GACGAACGCUGGCGGCGUGCUUAACACAUGCAAGUCGAACGGAAAGGCCCCGUUGGGGGUACUCUUGUGGCGAACGGGUGAGUAACACGUGAGUAACCUGCCCUUGACUUCGGGAUAACUUCAGGGAACUGGGGCUAAUACCGGAUAGGAAUCCUUGCUGCAUGGUGGGGGUUGGAAAGCUUCGGCGGUUUUGGAUGGACUCGCGGCUUAUCAGCUUGUUGGUGGGGUAGUGGCUUACCAAGGCUUUGACGGGUAGCCGGCCUGAGAGGGCGACCGGCCACAUUGGGUCUGAGAGACGGCCCAGACGCCUACGGGAGGAAGCAGGGGGGAAUAUUGCACAAUGGGCGGAAGCCGGAUGCAGAAACGCCUCGGGCGGGAAGACGGCCUUCGGGUUGUAAAACGCUUUCAGCAGGAGCGAAGCUUGUGGUGACGGUACCUGCAGAAGAAGCACCGGCUAACUACGUG
This 465-nucleotide ribosomal RNA is filed under the name uncultured bacterium. Its description in RNAcentral is "partial 16S ribosomal RNA". It matches the Rfam family "Bacterial small subunit ribosomal RNA", at positions 28 to 507 of the family's 1533-position model. The record is from RNAcentral.